GUCUCGCUCCGUCGCUCUCUCGGUCUCGCUCUCUCCUGCGAGUGCGUCGCCUCUGGAGGGAAGAGCAUGCGGUGGUGGUGCGUCAAUGGUGGCGGCGGUGAUAGUGGUGGUGGUGGUGGUGGUGCUAAUCUGAGAUUAGGGUUAGAUUGGGGUCAGAUUAGGGUUUUGCGAAUCUGCAAAAGGCUAAUGCGCUCAGAUCUGCAAAAGGGGUGAGGGUUGUGGAGAAAAAUGAAGAACUCCAUGGUUUUGCUGAAUCCAGUUCUCUGUUUUUUAUUUGUCUGUCUCCUUGAUCAAAUUCUCUGAUUUGUGUAAUUUGCAACUGUAAAUUCUCUGAUUUGUGUAAUUUGCAACUGUAAAUUCUUCUCUGAUUUGUGUAA
Long non-coding RNA from Vigna angularis (adzuki bean), 377 nucleotides. RefSeq lists it as uncharacterized. The record is from RefSeq and is a predicted model, not a curated record. The transcript is spliced from 2 exons. Lineage: Eukaryota; Viridiplantae; Streptophyta; Magnoliopsida; Fabales; Fabaceae.